Molecule: ribosomal RNA, 556 nt
Filed under: uncultured bacterium
Lineage: Bacteria
Description: bacterial SSU rRNA
Rfam family: Bacterial small subunit ribosomal RNA
Source: RNAcentral
ACGGGUGAGUAACACGUGGGAACGUACCUUUUAGUUCGGAACAACUGAGGGAAACUUCAGCUAAUACCGGAUAAGCCCUUACGGGGAAAGAUUUAUCGCCGAAAGAUCGGCCCGCGUCUGAUUAGCUUGUUGGUGAGGUAAUGGCUCACCAAGGCGACGAUCAGUAGCUGGUCUGAGAGGAUGAUCAGCCACAUUGGGACUGAGACACGGCCCAAACUCCUACGGGAGGCAGCAGUGGGGAAUAUUGGACAAUGGGCGAAAGCCUGAUCCAGCCAUGCCGCGUGAGUGAUGAAGGCCCUAGGGUUGUAAAGCUCUUUUGUGCGGGAAGAUAAUGACGGUACCGCAAGAAUAAGCCCCGGCUAACUUCGUGCCAGCAGCCGCGGUAAUACGAAGGGGGCUAGCGUUGCUCGGAAUCACUGGGCGUAAAGGGUGCGUAGGCGGGUCUUUAAGUCAGGGGUGAAAUCCUGGAGCACAACUCCAGAACUGCCCUGAUACUGAAGGUCUUGAGUUCGGGAGAGGUGAGUGGAACUGCGAGUGUAGAGGUGAAAUUCGUAGA